Musa acuminata AAA Group (dessert banana) is the source of this 3020-nucleotide RNA transcript. It is a transcript of the gene named CDP-diacylglycerol--glycerol-3-phosphate 3-phosphatidyltransferase 2-like, with no coding region annotated. The transcript is spliced from 11 exons. The record is from RefSeq and is a predicted model, not a curated record. NCBI's taxonomy places the organism in Eukaryota, Viridiplantae, Streptophyta, Magnoliopsida, Zingiberales, Musaceae.
ACUAACCGGACGGCCCAGAAAUAAAUCGCGCCUUCGCAACAGCAGGUCAGGGAGGGCACGGCGCGAUACACGGGCGCGAGUCUCGGUGGUUGUGGUGAUCGUGGAUGGCUCGCGCAAGAAAGAAGGCGGGUGGUGGGCCGGGAGAGACGAACCCCCGUGGCGACGCCGCAAGCGCCAUAGGUUCCCUUUACCAGUGCGGCGGCGGGAAAGUAGGCAUGCAGAUGAGUGGGCGAAAGCAAUCGCCGCCAUCGACGCCGCCGAUGCCGCAGAAUGGUCCUGGGAGGUUGUUCACUCUGCCGACGGUUCUCACCAUCGGCCGGGUCGCCGCCAUCCCCCUUUUCGUGAGCACUUUUUACAUGGAUGGUUGGUGGGGAGCAACUGCUACAACAAGCAUCUUUCUUCUCGCUGCAAUUACAGAUUGGCUAGAUGGUUAUAUUGCAAGAAAGAUGCGGCUUGAAACAGCAUUUGGUGCAUUUUUGGAUCCUGUCGCUGACAAGCUUAUGGUUGCUGCCACAUUGGUAUUGUUGUGCACUAAACCUUUUGAAUGUGCUAUAUUUGGGGAUGUUCCAUGGCUUUUGACGGCACCUUCAAUCACCAUCAUUGGUAGAGAGAUAACUAUGUCGGCAGUCAGAGAGUGGGCUGCAUCUCAGAAUAGUCUUGCUCUUGAGCAGGCUGUAGCAGUAAACAAAUUGGGGAAAUGGAAAGCAGCAACACAAAUGACUGCGCUAACUGCCCUUCUUGCUAGCAGAGAUCCCAGCAUGGCAGUGCCGAGUGUUUUAGCUUCUGGCAUAGGUCUGCUCUAUGUUUCAGCUGGCCUUGCCGUAUGGUCACUAGUCGUGUACACGAGGAAGAUAUGGACAGUGUCGCUCAAGUAGAUAGUUAGAGGCUAAAUCUGCCACGAGCAUACAAAUAACAAUGUAGAUGAUGCACCGGCACUAUUCAUCCGUAGCUGUUUCAAAGCCGCUGCUACAGAUGGGAUAUAUGCAGAGAAGCAAGCUGAUUCAUCGCCAUUGAUAGAUAAGAACAUGUAUUAACAGAAACUGUGCAAGUAAGAUGGGCAUCGUUGGGUUGGCGGCCGGCCAAAUGGACAAAAUUCGCUUUAAGAUCACAGCUUAUUGACGACAGUAGGCAUAUUUUGGCGCGGGGGUUGAUCUUUUCUUAUUUUAAAUGCCUAAACAUGAGUUGCAGUUCAAAAACCAUCAUCAAUUUCGAGACGUUGGCUGCCGAGGAUCCUUCUCGGAGACGCCGUCGAUCGACACCGCCGAGUCAUCGGCCGAGCAUGUAACGGAACCGCCGAAUGAAGAGGCAUUCAAGACGACACAUUCUUUUCUUCGUCCGCUCGAAUGUCGUCGGCUCCUUUUCCCUUCUCCUCCACCGGAGCGGUGUCGCCUUCGCUUCUCAAGUGGUACGUCUUCCUAAAUCCUUCUCACGAUCCGCGCUAUGGCUGCAUCCAAGAACAAGCGCCCGCGACGUUGGUUCUGAGGCGAUCCGACCUCCACUUCCAUCCAAGCCCCUCAACGACCGCCUCUCAUUCAGUUCUACUUCGUCCGCCUCCCAAGCCCUCCGUCUCGUUCUGGCUCCCCAAACUGCCCCCACCCCCUAAAACCCUCCGCCUCCUCGACUGGGACUUCGUUCCGUUCAACGACGCCCUUGAAGCCAGGAGAUCGAUCAGUUCGUGCACCACGAUAGCUGCCCUGGCCUCAACCGGUAGCACGAACUGAUUGAUCUCCUGGCAUCAAGGCCGUCGUUCAACGGGGUGAAGGGUUCACGUCAGGAGGGUGUGGUUCGCCAGCGGUGGUGUUCGUGGAAGGGUUCACGCCGCAGCAGAACGAUGGGCAUGAUUGCGAGUGGUGGUCUGCGAUUGGUGUGUCGAUUAGGGCGGGCGCAUGGACGGGAAGAACAGAUGGUUUGCCGCCGUGAAGGAGGAGGCCGAUGCCGAUGCCGAUGCGGUGGAUAAAGCUGAGAGGCGAAAUCUGGAGGCUUAUGCCAAGUUUGAUGGAGCGCAAGUGACGGUGAUUGUACUGGAUUGUCAUGCCGGGCAAGCAACCGGUGCAAGAUGAGAACAAGGAGAAGGAUGACCAGCACCAGCACCAGCACCAGCACCAAAAUUAUCAACACCCAGCACACCUGUUGAAAAGAAGUGCAGACAUCAUCCUGAUUGCAGUGAUAGAAUCUCUUGGAGCCAAGUACUAUUUCUUUCAUACAAUAAAUACACUGAGGAGCUUCAGGCAUGAAGAGAGAGAAAAUGAAUGGAUUUGGCUCUCUCUCUCUCUCUCCUGUAAGAUAUGAGUUCCAUGGCUCAGCAUAUACCCAUGGGAUCUUAAAGAGCGUACGUACCAUCAUCUUGGUGUAAACCAAAUUGAAGGUUUUAUUUGGGCCAAUCUCUGUUUUGUGUACUCCAGAAAUGCUUACCUCGUCUGUUCCCAGAGCAGCAACCUGUCGUCGUCAUCACCUGCAUCCUCUCCCGCAGCAGUCUCUUCGCCGGGCGAGCUGCCAAAAUCCACUACGUUAUGUGCAAUCAAGCGACUCAAAAGAAGUGAUCGGUUGAAGAGGGAGUCAGGGAGACCUCGUCAGCGGCCAAGGCCGAGAAGGGGAGGCGUUGCGGGCAUCUUCCCGCUUCAUAGCGAGCUUUUGGGCCUUUUGGAGAUCUAGCAGCGCGGCUACGAAGGCCCCGCGAGCUUCGACUUCUACCUUUCAAACUCGUCGAUCGACCUGCCAUUAAAGGAAGACGAUCUUAAAGAACAGAGAGAAAGAAUGGAGAACGGAGACUGUGCGUACAUAUUCGCGGCUGGCAUCGAGAGCUUGAAGCGCUGCGGAGGUGUUCCUCACCGAUGGGCCGAUCGUCUUCCUUGAUACUUGCCGGGAACAGAGGAUGCUUCAGACCCGAGGGAAUACAUGAAACCCAACACGGAAGAGAGAGAGAGAGGUACAGGACCUGCCGAUCAUUGACGAGACGCCGAAAUCGAAGAGUCGAUAGCAAGUGGAGGUUACCACGUUCAUGAGCUCUUCUAUGUCGACAG